UUCAGACGAUGCGUCAUGCAUAUCAAUAAGCGGAGGAAAAGAAACUAACUAGGAUUCCCUCAGUAACGGCGAGUGAAGCGGGAAGAGCUCAAAUUUGAAAUCUUCAAGGUUUUACCUUGACGAAUUGUAGUUUAAAGAAGUGUUUUCUGUUGAAGUUUUGGUAAAAGUUCUUUGGAAUAGGACAUCAUAGAGGGUGAGAAUCCCGUAUUUGACCAUUAUCUCCAGCCUGUGUGAUACACUUUCAAAGAGUCGGAUUGUUUGGGAAUGCAGUCCAAAAUGGGUGGUAAAUUUCAUCUAAAGCUAAAUAUUGGCGAGAGACCGAUAGCGAACAAGUACCGUGAGGGAAAGAUGAAAAGAACUUUGAAAAGAGAGUUAAACAGUACGUGAAAUUGUCAAAAGGGAAGCGUUUGACACCAGUGUUGUUUUAGUUGAAAAUCAAUUAAAAAGAGUUGGAUUUUGUGUUGUAUUGACCUUAACAGCUUGCUUCACUCUUUUCCUGCUUUUUUUAAUGCACUUUUCGUUUAACAAGUCAACAUCAGUUUCUUUUGUUGUAAAAGGGUCAUUGGAAGGUGGCUUUCUCUUCGGAGAAAGUGUUUAUAGCCUUUGAUCUCUGCAAUCGGAGAGACUGAGGUCUGCAGCGUAGAUCCUUCGGGGUUAGAUACAUUUGUGCUAAGCUACAGCCUUUCAUAGACAACUUGUUGACUAUGAUUUAGUCAUUGUAGCUUACUCCGCUUAUGCUAUUUUACCUACGCUUAGGAUGUUGAUAUGCAUGACUGAUAU
RNAcentral lists this ribosomal RNA (780 nucleotides) under uncultured Neocallimastigales. RNAcentral's name for it is "partial large subunit ribosomal RNA". It matches the Rfam family "Eukaryotic large subunit ribosomal RNA", at positions 18 to 640 of the family's 3401-position model. Lineage: Eukaryota; Fungi; Neocallimastigomycota; Neocallimastigomycetes; Neocallimastigales. The record is from RNAcentral.